This 377-nucleotide ribosomal RNA is filed under the name uncultured bacterium. RNAcentral's name for it is "bacterial SSU rRNA". It matches the Rfam family "Bacterial small subunit ribosomal RNA", at positions 521 to 896 of the family's 1533-position model. The record is from RNAcentral.
UAAUACAGAGGGUGCAAGCGUUAAUCGGAAUUACUGGGCGUAAAGGGUGCGUAGGUGGUCAAUUAAGUCAGAUGUGAAAUCCCCGGGCUUAACCUGGGAAUUGCAUUUGAAACUGGUUGACUAGAGUACGGUAGAGGGAAGUGGAAUUUCCGGUGUAGCGGUGAAAUGCGUAGAUAUCGGAAGGAACAUCAGUGGCGAAGGCGACUUCCUGGACCGUUACUGACACUGAGGCACGAAAGCGUGGGGAGCGAACAGGAUUAGAUACCCUGGUAGUCCACGCUGUAAACGAUGAGAACUAGAUGUUAGGGAGCUUAGACUCUUUAGUAUCGCAGCAAACGCGUUAAGUUCUCCGCCUGGGGAGUACGGCCGCAAGGUUA